GGGAUGACCUUCUUCCUCCGCCCAGCCGCCACAGUAAUUUGUCGUCAAGUCUGCCACAGGAGGAUAUUUUGUUCUGGGUUAACCUGCCUUUUUACCUCGCAGGUUGUUUAUCAAUAUUGUGUAAUUUUAAUUACUCCUAGAAUUUCCGCAUGUGUUAGCAGUAAUUAUUUGAAUUUGGUCUGUAAUAUUAUUAUCAUGUUGGACCUGUAAACUUAAUAUUUUAAGUCA
Molecule: long non-coding RNA, 228 nt
Organism: Hevea brasiliensis (rubber tree)
Lineage: Eukaryota; Viridiplantae; Streptophyta; Magnoliopsida; Malpighiales; Euphorbiaceae
Exons: 2
Source: RefSeq, a predicted model, not a curated record